This 460-nucleotide ribosomal RNA is filed under the name uncultured bacterium. RNAcentral's name for it is "partial 16S ribosomal RNA". It matches the Rfam family "Bacterial small subunit ribosomal RNA", at positions 338 to 795 of the family's 1533-position model. The record is from RNAcentral.
CCUACGGGAGGCAGCAGUGAGGAAUAUUGGUCAAUGGACGAGAGUCUGAACCAGCCAAGUAGCGUGAAGGAUGACUGCCCUAUGGGUUGUAAACUUCUUUUAUAUGGGAAUAAAACGUUCCACGUGUGGGAUUUUGUAUGUACCAUAUGAAUAAGGAUCGGCUAACUCCGUGCCAGCAGCCGCGGUAAUACGGAGGAUCCGCGCGUUAUCCGGAUUUAUUGGGUUUAAAGGGAGCGUAGGUGGAUUGUUAAGUCAGUUGUGAAAGUUUGCGGCUCAACCGUAAAAUUGCAGUUGAAACUGGCAGUCUUGAGUACAGUAGAGGUGGGCGGAAUUCGUGGUGUAGCGGUGAAAUGCUUAGAUAUCACGAAGAACUCCGAUUGCGAAGGCAGUUCACUGGACUGCAACUGACACUGAGGCUCGAAAGUGUGGGUAUCAAACAGGAUUAGAUACCCCUGUAGUC